GUCAUCACCCAGUUCCAGCCAAUCCAACCCAAGAUGGAUUUUUAUUGCAGUAGAUUGGUGCUAAAGGAAGGAGCAGCCCCAUUUAUGGGAAGGAGUGAGCAUUCAUUGUGACAAGCUUCAUCACACUACUCCAAUGCCAAUUAGAUCCAAUCAUCUUCAGAUCGACCAGAUGCAGAUCAGGGUGGACCAUCUAUAGAUCGGCCGAUAUUGAUCAAAUCUGAUUGCAUUCAAAUUGAUCAGACAUGGAUCAGAUUCGAUUACC
This 262-nucleotide long non-coding RNA is filed under the name Elaeis guineensis (African oil palm). Its description in RNAcentral is "long non-coding RNA (EGUI_LNC008427)". Lineage: Eukaryota; Viridiplantae; Streptophyta; Magnoliopsida; Arecales; Arecaceae. The record is from RNAcentral.